This 705-nucleotide ribosomal RNA is filed under the name Alcaligenes aquatilis. RNAcentral's name for it is "bacterial SSU rRNA". It matches the Rfam family "Bacterial small subunit ribosomal RNA", at positions 77 to 774 of the family's 1533-position model. The record is from RNAcentral. Lineage: Bacteria; Pseudomonadati; Pseudomonadota; Betaproteobacteria; Burkholderiales; Alcaligenaceae.
AGCUUGCUCUCUUGGCGGCGAGUGGCGGACGGGUGAGUAAUAUAUCGGAACGUGCCCAGUAGCGGGGGAUAACUACUCGAAAGAGUGGCUAAUACCGCAUACGCCCUACGGGGGAAAGGGGGGGAUCGCAAGACCUCUCACUAUUGGAGCGGCCGAUAUCGGAUUAGCUAGUUGGUGGGGUAAAGGCUCACCAAGGCAACGAUCCGUAGCUGGUUUGAGAGGACGACCAGCCACACUGGGACUGAGACACGGCCCAGACUCCUACGGGAGGCAGCAGUGGGGAAUUUUGGACAAUGGGGGAAACCCUGAUCCAGCCAUCCCGCGUGUAUGAUGAAGGCCUUCGGGUUGUAAAGUACUUUUGGCAGAGAAGAAAAGGUAUCCCCUAAUACGGGAUACUGCUGACGGUAUCUGCAGAAUAAGCACCGGCUAACUACGUGCCAGCAGCCGCGGUAAUACGUAGGGUGCAAGCGUUAAUCGGAAUUACUGGGCGUAAAGCGUGUGUAGGCGGUUCGGAAAGAAAGAUGUGAAAUCCCAGGGCUCAACCUUGGAACUGCAUUUUUAACUGCCGAGCUAGAGUAUGUCAGAGGGGGGUAGAAUUCCACGUGUAGCAGUGAAAUGCGUAGAUAUGUGGGAGGAAUACCGAUGGCGAAGGCAGCCCCCUGGGAUAAUACUGACGCUCAGACACGAAAGCGUGGGGAGCAAACA